GAUGAACGCUGGCGGCGUGCUUAACACAUGCAAGUCGAACGAGAAGUGAAGACGGAAACCUUCGGGCGGAAGGCUUUAUUUCGAGUGGCGGACGGGUGAGUAACGCGUGGGUAACCUGCCUCAUACAGGGGGAUAACAGUUGGAAACGACUGUUAAUACCGCAUAAGACCACAGCACCGCAUGGUGCGGGGGUAAAAACUCCGGUGGUAUGAGAUGGACCCGCGUUCGAUUAGCCAGUUGGCGGAGUAACGGCCCACCAAAGCGACGAUCGAUAGCCGAUCUGAGAGGAUGACCGGCCACAUUGGGACUGAGACACGGCCCAAACUCCUACGGGAGGCAGCAGUGGGGAAUAUUGCACAAUGGGGGAAACCCUGAUGCAGCGACGCCGCGUGAGUGAAGAAGUAUUUCGGUAUGUAAAGCUCUAUCAGCAGGGAAGAAAAUGACGGUACCUGAGUAAGAAGCCCCGGCUAACUACGUG
This 478-nucleotide ribosomal RNA is filed under the name uncultured bacterium. RNAcentral's name for it is "partial 16S ribosomal RNA". It matches the Rfam family "Bacterial small subunit ribosomal RNA", at positions 28 to 507 of the family's 1533-position model. The record is from RNAcentral.